This is a non-coding RNA of Otolemur garnettii (small-eared galago), 85 nucleotides long. NCBI's taxonomy places the organism in Eukaryota, Metazoa, Chordata, Mammalia, Primates, Galagidae. The record is from Rfam.
GGUCUAGUGCUGUGUGGAAGACUAGUGAUUUUGUUGUUCUGAUGUACUAUGACAACAAGUCACAGCCGGCCUCAUAGCGCAGACU